AAUAGGGCGAUCGUCAGUGUUUAUAGACCCGAACCCGGGUGAUCUAACCAUGGCCAGGAUGAAGCUUGGGUGAUACCAAGUGGAGGUCCGAACCGACUGAUGUUGAAAAAUCAGCGGAUGAGCUGUGGUUAGGGGUGAAAUGCCAAUCGAACCCGGAGCUAGCUGGUUCUCCCCGAAAUACGUUGAGGCGUAGCGUCUAGUGCUCCAGCAGGGGGGUAAAGCCACCAUUUCGGUGCGGGCUGCGAGAGCGGUACCUAAUCGAGAUGAACUCUGAAUACCCUGUGUGUAACUAGGCAGUCAGACUGUGGGGGAUAAGCUCCAUAGUCGAAAGGGAAACAGCCCAGACCGCCAGCUAAGGUCCCAAAAUCAACACUAAGUGAUAAAGGAGGUGGGAUUGCACAGACAACCAGGAGGUUUGCCUAGAAGCAGCCAUCCUCAAAGGAGUGCGUAAUAGCUCACUGGUCGAGCGAUCCUGCGCCGAAAAUGAACGGGGCUAAGUGUUGUACCGAAGCUGCGGAUUUAACUUGUUAAAUGGUAGGGGAGCGUUCUAUGUGGGGCGAAGCGUUAGCGUAAGCGGGCGUGGACUGCAUAGAAGUGAGAAUGUCGGCUUGAGUAGCGAAAACAUGGGUGAGAAUCCCAUGCCCCGAAACCCUAAGGGUUCCUCCGGCAGGCUCGUCCACGGAGGGUUAGUCUGGACCUAAGGCGAGGCCGAAAGGCGUAGUCGAUGGACAACAGGUCAACAUUCCUGUACCGGUUAUGUUUUGGGAAGGGGGACGGAGAAGGCUAGCCAAGCCAGAUGUUGGUUACUGGUUUAAGCGUUCGAGGCGUUGAGGAGCGGAGAAAACGUUCUGAGCUAAGGCGUGAAUACGAGCUGCUACGGCAGUGAAGUUGGUGAUGUCAUGCUUCCAAGAAAAGCCCUAUACCCGUUAAGGCAUAACUGCCAGUACCCGAAACCGACACAGGUAGGGUGGUAGAGAAUACCGAGGGGCGCGAGAUAACUCUCUCUAAGGAACUCGGCAAAAUGGCCCCGUAACUUCGGGAGAAGGGGUGCCAGCGAGAGCUGGUCGCAGUGAAGAGGCCCAGGCGACUGUUUACCAAAAACACAGGUCUCCGCUAAGUCGCAAGACGAUGUAUGGGGGCUGACGCCUGCCCAGUGCCGGAAGGUUAAGGAAGCCGGUCAGCGUAAGCGAAGCUGGCGACUGAAGCCCCGGUGAACGGCGGCCGUAACUAUAACGGUCCUAAGGUAGCGAAAUUCCUUGUCGGGUAAGUUCCGACCCGCACGAAAGGCGUAACGAUCUGGGCGCUGUCUCGGAGAGAGGCUCGGCGAAAUAGAAUUGUCUGUGAAGAUGCGGACUACGUACACCCGGACAGAAAGACCCUAUGAAGCUUUACUGUAGCUUGGUAUUGUGCUCGGGCUCUGAAUGCGCAGGAUAGGUGGGAGACGUUGAAGUAGUGCUCGUGGGUAUUACUGAGUCAAUGGUGAGAUACCACUCUUUCAGAGCUAGGGUUCUAACGUUCACCCGUUAUCCGGGGAGCGGACAGUAUCAGGUGGGCAGUUUGACUGGGGCGGUCGCCUCCUAAAAGGUAACGGAGGCGUGCAAAGGUUCCCUCAGGCUGGUUGGAAAUCAGUCGAUGAGUGCAAAGGCAGAAGGGAGCUUGACUGUGAGACCUACAAGUCGAACAGGGACGAAAGUCGGCCUUAGUGAUCCGACGGUUCUGAGUGGAAGGGCCGUCGCUCAACGGAUAAAAGUUACUCUAGGGAUAACAGGCUGAUCUCCCCCAAGAGUUCACAUCGACGGGGAGGU
This 1805-nucleotide ribosomal RNA is filed under the name marine metagenome. RNAcentral's name for it is "bacterial LSU rRNA". It matches the Rfam family "Bacterial large subunit ribosomal RNA", at positions 686 to 2517 of the family's 2925-position model. The record is from RNAcentral.